Non-coding RNA from Leptonychotes weddellii (Weddell seal), 485 nucleotides. The record is from RefSeq and is a predicted model, not a curated record. Lineage: Eukaryota; Metazoa; Chordata; Mammalia; Carnivora; Phocidae.
UAGGCGAUCUUCCUCACGCUGUUCGGCUCCCUGAUGCUGAACCGGAUGCCGUGGCUUACCAAAGAGAAGGAACAACAAACAAGGAGGAUCUUGGCACUCUUGGGGACCUUGUCUGGUUAGCUGGCUGCCCCUUCUCAGCUGCCCAAGGCGAUCCAGGGCAUCACCAGCACUCCAAAAUGUCCACCAGUACCUGGUUCAAGAGAUAAGAACAACCCCGUGUAUGUAGCUCCAACUAUCAACAGUCCAAUUAAGCGCCCAGAAAGAACCUUGAAAGAGAAGAAGCUUUUCAAGCUGACAGGAGAUAUUUUGGUCUACUCAGCACAGAACUCGAAUAGGUUUUACCUCCAUCAGGCUAUCCAGAAGAGUUUCUCCCACUGUUUCUCAGAGAUCAGACUUCUGAAGCAUUUCUACCCAUGGGCCAAUCGCACCUUCCUAACCUUUAUGGGGUUACAGAGAUACGGACACAGUUCUGGGCCCCAGCUUCU